This 22-nucleotide microRNA is filed under the name Lingula anatina. RNAcentral describes it as "Lan-Mir-278_3p (mature (guide))". The record is from RNAcentral. Lineage: Eukaryota; Metazoa; Brachiopoda; Lingulata; Lingulida; Lingulidae.
UCGGUGGGAUUUUCGUUCGGUC